UCUUAUUAACGACUAUUGUCACCAUAUGCACAAGUAAUCCGUUACUUCAAACAAAAUGCCCUAAAAAUAUUUGUUUAGCUUUAAUGUGUGUUCCUGAUGACCCGGUAUGUACAGGAGGUAAAAUAGUACCUGGUGCUGGUUACUGUGGGUGCUGUGCAGCUUGUGUACGACCACAAGAAGAUUCAAAUGUAGGUAAAUGUGUAGAGAAGAAUAAUAAUGGCUUACUUGGAUCUCAAGAAUUUAAAUGUAAUCCAGAUGGAUCAUUUGCCCCUGUUCAGUGUAAAGGAUCAGUAUGUUACUGUGUUGAUGAUGAAGGAACUCAGUUACCAGGUUACAGCCAAACUAUUGGCCAAACUGCUUCCAUGGACUGUCGUUGUGCUAGAGAUGAAAAUAACUAUAGUAAAACAGGAUUAUUAGGAAAAAUGUUUAAUUGUCAAGAUAAUGGUAAUUAUUCACCCUAUAAAUGUCUGGGUUCUGUCUGUUUCUGUUCUGAUGAAAAUGGUUUGAUAAAAGGAUCAAAGAUAAUAAACAUUGGCGAGUUAUCUUCCCUUCAGUGUACACAAUAAAAUCUAUGUUAUAAAAUCUGA
RNA transcript from Patella vulgata (common limpet), 587 nucleotides. RefSeq lists it as uncharacterized. NCBI's taxonomy places the organism in Eukaryota, Metazoa, Mollusca, Gastropoda, Patellidae. The transcript has 4 exons. The record is from RefSeq and is a predicted model, not a curated record.